AACGAACGCUGGCGGCAGGCUUAACACAUGCAAGUCGAACGCUCGUAGCAAUACGGGAGUGGCGGACGGGCGAGUAACGCGUGGGAACGUGCCCUGAGGUACGGAAUAACUGAGGGAAACUUCAGCUAAUACCGUAUGAGCCCCGAGAGGGGAAAGAUUUAUCGCCUUGGGAGCGGCCCGCGUCGGAUUAGCUAGUUGGUGGGGUAACGGCCUACCAAGGCUUCGAUCCGUAGCUGGUCUGAGAGGACGAUCAGCCACACUGGGACUGAGACACGGCCCAGACUCCUACGGGAGGCAGCAGUGGGGAAUCUUGCGCAAUGGGGGCAACCCUGACGCAGCCAUGCCGCGUGAACGAUGAAGGCCUUAGGGUUGUAAAGUUCUUUUACCCGUGACGAUGAUGACGGUAACGGGGAAUAAGCUCCGGCGUAACUUCGUGCCAGCAGCCG
This 446-nucleotide ribosomal RNA is filed under the name uncultured bacterium. RNAcentral's name for it is "bacterial SSU rRNA". It matches the Rfam family "Bacterial small subunit ribosomal RNA", at positions 29 to 517 of the family's 1533-position model. The record is from RNAcentral.